AGUGAACGCUGGCGGUAGGCCUAACACAUGCGAGUCGAACGGCAGCACAGUAAGAGCUUGCUCUUACGGGUGGCGAGUGGCGGACGGGUGAGGAAUACAUCGGAAUCUACUUUUUCGUGGGGGAUAACGUAGGGAAACUUACGCUAAUACCGCAUACGACCUACGGGUGAAAGCAGGGGAUCUUCGGACCUUGCGCGAUUGAAUGAGCCGAUGUCGGAUUUGCUAGUUGGCGGGGUAAAGGCCCACCAAGGCGACGAUCCGUAGCUGGUCUGAGAGGAUGAUCAGCCACCCUGGAACUGAGACACGGUCCAGACUCCUACGGGAGGCAGCAGUGGGGAAUAUUGGACAAUGGGCGCAAGCCUGAUCCAGCCAUACCGCGUGGGUGAAGAAGGCCUUCGGGUUGUAAAGCCCUUUUGUUGGGAAAGAAAAGCAGCAGGUUAAUACCCCGCUGUUCUGACGGUACCCAAAGAAUAAGCACCGGCUAACUUCGUG
This 492-nucleotide ribosomal RNA is filed under the name uncultured bacterium. Its description in RNAcentral is "partial 16S ribosomal RNA". It matches the Rfam family "Bacterial small subunit ribosomal RNA", at positions 29 to 507 of the family's 1533-position model. The record is from RNAcentral.